Myodes glareolus (Bank vole) is the source of this 5345-nucleotide non-coding RNA. The record is from RefSeq and is a predicted model, not a curated record. NCBI's taxonomy places the organism in Eukaryota, Metazoa, Chordata, Mammalia, Rodentia, Cricetidae.
CCACUAAGUACAGACUUGGCUGUGUAGGUUGUUGAAUAUUUCAGUAAGACUUUUUAUUACAUUUAUUUAUUAACUGGAGCUGAGAGGGGCACCAUGGUAUAUGUGGAGAAUUGCUUCUCUCCUCCCAUCAUGUGGCUCCAGAGAGCCAACCCAAGCCCUCAUGCUUGGCAGCAAGCACUUUUACCUGCCAACUCUAUACUUUGAGAAAAUAUCCUACUAUGUAGACCAGGCUGUCCAUCUUCCUGCCUCAGCCUCCCAGAGGCCUGGAUUAUAGUUAUGAGGCACCAUGCCUGGCUAAUAUUUCCACUUCAGUCUUUAUCCAGAGGACUCUGAAAGGUUGCAGACAGGGAAACCAACAGGCUUAGCUGAGAUUUUAAGACGGUUUCUCAGGCUUCUCUGUACGGAGUGGGUAUCAGGACCAAGUCUGUAUGGCGCGUGCAACUGUCUCCCAAGGUGGGAACUGCACUGUAUUUAGACCCAUGGGAACAUUACCACCUUCUCCAAGAACAGGAGAUAUUUACUCCUCCAAAACAUUUUUCAAACUGAAGGGUACAAAGCAAACAGGCAAACAAAAAACCCAACCAACCAAACAGGCAAACACAAAUGAACAAAACCCACCACAACAAAAAUUUCUUAAGAACUGGUGAGUUUGGCUAACAAAAUGCUAACAGCCUUGAGGGAGCUCCGUAUCCUGCAGCUGAGGAGGCCCUCCUUCAGACUUACCACUCUAGCUCUGAAACCAGGUCGGUCAGACAACUGGCUCUUAUUUUGAAAGAACGCAAGAGUUGCUUUCACCUGAACGAUGGGAUUCGUGGCAGCUUAUCUUUUAGAUAGAGGAUGGUAGAUGGAUAUUCCUGGGAGCCAGAUCUGAGCUGCUGAGGGCCAUCAGAUUGCUCCCCAGCACAGUGCCCUCUCUUCUGCUGUCUCCAUCUCCACUACGGGUGUGUGUGUGUGUGUGUGUGUGUGUGUCUGACCGUCAUGGGUUCUUGUGUGCUUUCCUCUCUGAGGCUAGCCCUCAGCCCCUCUGCAGCAGAAAGCAACAACAGCUGUGUUUGUCCCAUCCUUUCUCUGAACGGAUGAGCCAUGCACUGAGCACUUUCCACGCGCCACGUCACAGCCUCGUGAGGAUGAGUCUGGAGGCGCUAACAUCGCUAUAUUCGCUUUACACUCGACAAGCACAAAGUGUGAGCAAUUACGUCCUUUCUUUGAGGUGACCCAUUUACAGUCGCGGGUUGGUGACUUCGUUCCUCAAUGUGUUCAUUUUUCUUGUCUCCUCUGCUUGUUUCUUCUGGCUUGCGUUUCCUACUGCCAGCCGUUCCAUUCAGCAAACUCUCCCUAGACAGAUGGAGCGUCCUCAGUUCUCAGGUGCCCUGGAGGUUUCCUGGCAACCACCUGGUCUUGAGGUCCUGAGCUGCCGUGGCAAGCGCUCUCUGCUGCCCCCUUCUGGCAAGCUAUAGCCCAGAUUCACUUCUUGGCCAACACGUUGAUGAGAGUGUGAGUUUUCCAUUCUCUUAUUUUCAUCAGUAAGAUGUCUAUGUGUGGUUGUCGGAGCUAAAAGAGGAGUGAUCAGCUGCUCAGAAUAUACUCGCAGCCUCAAAAUGAGUUGAAAAGCACGCAAGCUCUACGUGGGUCUCAACAGAAGUUAAUGAAAAGUGAAAAUACUUUCCCUUCAGAACCUGUCCAAAGUUUUCCGCGUGGCUUCUCAAGUGACUUUGUGUGCUUUUAAUGUAUUUCUUACUUACGACUUUGCUCUUGAAACUUGGCCAGAACGUUCUGGAAAAGUCAGUCCAAAGUGUAAAUUUACCAUUUUGCAAAAGUCAUUGCUUUUGAGCUUAUUAGAAAAGAGCCAAUGUGAAGUCAACAAUGACCUCUGAGAAGGCUGAGCUCUGUUUGUUUCUCUUGUGUGCCAGGCAUACAGUAAGUGUUCAGAGCACAUUCGCUGCAUUAGAAGGAGUACCUAAAUGGCUUUUUAUGAGUUGCCAAGAAGAGUUGAGAGGGAAUCUCAUUUGACUUGGGUCAACCCUGGAAUUUAUCUUAAAUACACGGUUGUUCAAAGGUUUUCCUCAAUCAAAUACAGUACAAGUAUAAAGCAAUGGGUAUCCUGAACUCUCAGGGCUAAUGACUUUGUGAAGCCUUUGAAUUUCUUACCUAUGAUUAGCGCUGUUACUUCCAGGCCAAUCAAUAGGCACAACUCUGCGAGAUUAAAAACAAUUUGGAUCAUUAUUCUCCCUUCAUUCCAUGCUCAUUAUUUCUUGUUUGAAUGAGACCUAUAAUCAGUGUUAUUUGUGAUAUUUAUGGUGAGAGUUUAAACCAAUGAUUGUUCCUCUCUUCGCAGGUAUUAAAUACCAUUUCCAGCGACCUUUCCGGGACUCUGUGCUUCCUAAUGACGUCUGCUUUUCCAGACGUUGCAGCCUUCCGAAGGAACACCAAACUUGAAAGAGUCUUGGAAAAGUAUUUGUUAUUUAAUUGAAGGCAGCUGUUCUGAAAAAGUUACCCACCUUUAUAAUGCCUUUAAAGUAGCUUUUUAUGGUAUAACAUUCAGCCUUGCAAUAUGUACAAAAUGAAAUUCCUCUGACAUUCUUUGCUAUUACAAACACUAAAUACUGUAAGUAAUAUAGUCAUAAAAUUAUGGACAACUAAAUUUGGAUUUAAUUGCUAAAAAUUAUAUUAUAUCUCCAUCCAGUUGGCCCUCUGGCGCAGAUUGCCUUAGAAAUGUCAUCAUUUAUUGUAGAAAAUACUGAAUGCAGCAUUUUCCUACCUUGUCCUUGAAUUCUUACCAAACAUCACCAAACAUCUGAUGCACGCUAUAAUAGCAGAGUUGCUUAAAUGUUGCUAUUAAUCUAAUCUUUAACCUUUAACAUUUUGUUCGAGGGAUUUCAGGAAGAGACUUAACACAGAUGUCUAAGGUCCAGAACGACCAGAGCCAAACAGCUGAAGGACGGCCAAGAGGCACAGUUUCUGAGCACGCUUUUCCUUGGAGUCAGUAUAAAGAUGAAAUAUGGCUUCUAUGAACACAGUCUUCACAGGAAAGGUCUUUCUUGUCACAGUGCCGGGCUGAUUUCCAAGCCAAGGGCACGGUACUGUAACUCCUUGCAGGUCUAUUUUUAGGUUCCCAUUUCUCAACAGGAGGCUCUAGGCUUUGAGCUAGUGACGCGCAGGCGGCAUACUGUGCAGGAAGGAGCAGACGGACUGCUCCGUGCAUCCCCAGGAGGUUGGCGCUCAGCGCCUCUCACGGGAACCCUGGUCACCUGACCCUAGCCUACUCUUGGUCUCGGGGAAGAUAAAGACUCAUCUUCCAGUUACCUGUCUGGAUUUCCUAAGAGUUCGACCCCCUCAGGUUAUCUAUUAGUCAUGCAUUGCCAGGAUCUUCCAGCUAUGACCCCAGGGGUCCAACCGGGCGGUUGGAGGGAGAGGGAGAGCGAAGUCACCAGACAACAAAGGCGCUCUGAUGGAAAAUACCAAAUGCCAUUCAUUUGUUUUUGAAAUGGAACACUGAGGACUGUAAGUCUGUAAGUAAAUAAUAAAAGCACUUCUCUUUUAUAUCAUGGCAUUUCACCGAAAAUAUGGAAGAGUGAACAUUUUAAAGCUAAAGUAAAAGACAGGGAAGACACUUCAGUGUGGGCAGAGUCUCUGAAGAGGGACAUUUCUCAUGUCAUAGUUUUGUAUUAUUUUCCCAGAAGGGAAUUGCUAGAUUGUUAAAGAGUAAUUUUGGAAUCUGUUAUGAACACCACUUUGACUUUACGAAAAGUUUGGAGCAUACAUAUUCCUAAAAUAUUUUCUUUAUCUUCGAGGGAGAUGUCAGUUUCUGCCCUGGAUGUUGGAACACAGCAUCUUCUCCAAGCCCACAUGAACUUGGACGUCUCCUGCGUCACAGCGCCAUCUUGUGGUUGUUCGCCAUUUCCCGUAUUUCAUUUGCUGCACUUUCACGGUUAGAGGCACAAACUGGACUCUCCCUAUUAAUUUUUCCCGUAGGCUGAACAGAAUCACGCAGGAUUGAAGAAGAGGCUCCCAACCUUCCACGAAAGGCCAUGGAGGGCAUGGCAUUUCCACUGGAAAAUGUGCGGCGCGCUCGCUUGGCUGGGGGAACAGUGGUAUUUACCACACAUCUGCCUCGCAGGCCCAUGCUGAGGCUCCAAGGCCCGGUUCCAGACUGGCAAGUGCUCUCCGAAGACUCGCAGCUUCCAUUCGAGAGCUGGACUAGAGCAAGUCAAGUUACGUCUCAUCACGACGAUGGUGAGCAAAUUAUUGCUGCGCAACACAAAACCAGGAAAUGAGACAGAAGACAUGAAUCUUCGCUAAUUUGCCAUGGAGUAAUGCCAGAGUUCUCCAUCUUGCAAACCCAGACCAGCUCUCCCCACACAUGAAGAUCUCACCAACUGCUGCCACACCACACUCCAGCCCCACACAUCCAACCCAUUAUUAUUAUUAUUAUUAUUAUUUAGGAAGAACUGGCUCUGCUGAUCCUUUGGUCAUCAAUUACUUUUAGACAUGAUGUUUACAUUCCAAAGGAAUUCUUGGGUUCCUUGGUAAUGCCUUGUCUUGAACACUCAACCCUGUUGACUUGUGGGGCUAGAGAACAUGACCCAACAACACUGUCAAUAAGAAAAACGACCUGCAUUCAUACCCUUUAGGAAUCUUCUGAGCGUGGCUUAAUCAAUUUUCAUUAUAGUCAUUGAAAACUUUUAAAAACUUGAUUAAAGAAAACACAAUAUAAAUUUUGCCAUCUUGGGGCUGUAGAGACGUCUCAGCAGUUGAGAACAUUUGCUGCUCUUGCAGAGGGCCUGGGUUCUGUUCUCAGUGCCCACAUGGACACAGGGUUACCCCUGUUUUGGGGAAUAUUAUGAUCUUUACAUAGAUUGGCAUAUGAUGUGUGACGUGUAGUCAAGCUUUUUCCUGGGUCCCUGAUGUUUGAGGCCUGCCCGGCUGAGGAACAUCAAAAUACAGAUGCCGUAUUUUGUGGCAGGUGGUUCCCAGCUAUCCAAAAAUAGUCCCAGGGGACUCUCCACCAUCUUCUGACCACUAAGAACAUAGGACGUGCAUGAUACACAUAUAUCCAUACAGUCAAAGCACUCAUACACUUUUUUAAAAAUCUAAAAAAAAAAAUUUCCCAUCCAUGGUAGUUUGAAUGUUGACCCCCACAAGCUCAUAGGGAGUGGCACUACCAGGAGGCACUUUGUUAUACCUCUUUUGUUGGAGUGGGUGUGGCCUUGUUGGAGGAAGUGUGUCACUGUGGGGGUGGGCUUUGAGGUCUCAUAUAUGCCCAACCCGUGCCCAGUGCCUCAGUACAUUUCCCAUUGCCUUCUGAUCAAGAUGUAGCCAGAAUCACGUCUACCUGCAUGCCACCA